This is a non-coding RNA of Dendroctonus ponderosae (mountain pine beetle), 122 nucleotides long. The record is from Rfam. Lineage: Eukaryota; Metazoa; Arthropoda; Insecta; Coleoptera; Curculionidae.
UCCUUCCUUGUUGAGGGGAGCAUAAUGUCCAAGGAUCGUUUAGUGAGGGCAUUUCUGCUGGCACCCCAAUAAAUUUACCCGCAUCCGUAUCUUCCGAGAUUACGAGUGCAAUUUUUGGAGGA